Vollenhovia emeryi is the source of this 2570-nucleotide long non-coding RNA. RefSeq lists it as uncharacterized. The transcript is spliced from 3 exons. NCBI's taxonomy places the organism in Eukaryota, Metazoa, Arthropoda, Insecta, Hymenoptera, Formicidae. The record is from RefSeq and is a predicted model, not a curated record.
AGUAAAAUAACUAAGUGUAAAAAAUGAAAGUUACCAACAAAUUGACAAAUAUUUGCAUAAUUCAUAUCAGGGUGAAUGAAAACCACUGUUUUCUCUUAAGCCGGUGUGAGAAUAAGGAAGAAAGCUAGAGGAUGAGAGGAUAGCAGUUACAUGCAGCAUCUUUUUCCCAACAGUUUUCCCAAACAAAUAAUGUCUGAACUAAUAAAUGCAAUCAGCUGUUAAGAUUAGUUCUAAACAGAUUAUUCCACCAUACAUCAACCCUUCAGUCUCUAUCUCGUCUCCAGCGAACCCUACAUCCGAUAUUAGAACGCCUUGCGUUAUCGAUUAUUGUUUCAACAAAAAUUCUACCUAUUUCUUUCGAGGGAAGAGAUCCCUCUCGAACUGUAAAAACAGUUCUCAGCCGUCUCUCAAAACGAAUACACCUUUGACUCACACCGCCAAAUAAAGUCUUGGUACAAGGACAGCUCUCUACUUUAUUUCAUUGAAAUAUUAAGUCGCGUCUCGCGCGUGACGCAGCUCACCUUUCGUAAAAAAAAGGCUAGCAGAACUGUUAAAGCCUCGGAAUUGGAUCGGAAAAAUGUGGCAAAUAAGGCGAAAAAAUGGAUACGAGGGGGAAAGCAAUUUUAGCGAAGAUCAGAAUGGCCGCGAGGAAUAUAAACCCCUUGAAACCAGAGGCCACGAAAUAGUAACAGAAUUGGAAAUACACAACAUGGACGUUUGUGUUUUAUCCGAAGCAAAGCAGGACAAGGGAAAACGCAAAUGUGAAAACUAUAUAUUGUUCUUUAAUGAAAAAAAAUAAUAGAGCGAAGCCUGGAGGAUAUUAAUUCAUCAAAAAUAUGACCAACACAUUGAAUCUGCCACAAUACAUACGUUGCCGGCUAAAAGUUUGAGGUCGCAUAUAAAUGUUAAAAAUCUUCCAGUGAAAUAUUGCUUGAAAGUCCGAGUCACGCCUUAUUUAAUACUUUUUCUUAAUUUGAAAGUAAACAGACGUUAUAUAUGUGUAUAUACUUAGCAUAAUUGAGUUUAAUUAUAUUUUUAUUACUCUUAUCGUCGGUUUGUUCUCUUUGGUCACUAUUUAUUUCGAUUUCACUCGAUUUAGGUCGACUUUAACCACAAGCGAAAAUAGUGGAUUUCCAUCGGAAACAAUUUCGGCGGCAAAACAUCAUGAUUCCACAUACGAAAUUAUGACAAGACAACAUUAUUCGUGGAGAUGUUGCACAUUGACUGCGAUAGCGUCGUUCUACGGGUCGACUACCGUUACUGACCCUAAUAACCUCGUUGGCUGUUCUCGACGAUCAAUUAAUUAUGGCCUAAUUGGCGUUAAAGGGCUGAUAUUGCGAUAACAAACCAACCGCGGUUUGUUCCCUUGCUUAGCAACUAUAUCCGCCAAUAUCGCGCGUAAAACGAGAAAAAUUAUUGAUAGCCAUCGGCACGGACCGCGUCAUUAAUCGAUAAAAUAUAGAUAUAAAAGAGAUUGCUUAUAUAUAUCCCAAGCAAAAUGAAGAAAAAAGUAAUCGGUCUUGUCUUACGCCGAUAAACCUCGGCGUACUUUUACUUCACAGGAUCUCGUUUUUUCCCCCCCUUCAUUUAACGCUCGCGUCGUUUUAUUUUAUCUCCCGAUAUCUUCCGCAUAUCUUUCAUUCGUGUAUUCCAUUGGCUUUACCAUAAAUUAAAUUCGUAACUUUACUCUAGCGCGACAAUACAUUUUUCCCGUUGGGCCUUUCGGCUUUCACUUUACGAACGCUCGAGCCCUCGCCAUUCCCACGUAGUUCAACUUUAAUCUAUUCUUUAUUAAGAAAUACAGAUAAUGACAACACAAUUAAGAAGAAAACGAAAGCGACGCGGGGGAAGACGGAGACGUGGAUGACGAUAGGUAUUGCUUGUCGGGCGGCUCCGUCGAGUGUCGUUCGUGCUCGAGCAGAGCUAAGAAUACCGCGGCCAGCCAUAUUUGGCAAUGAGACCGCGUGACCACGCACGGCGAAAACAGGAGUGGAACCCCGAUCGUGCGGAGACAAUGGGAUUACAAUACUAUGAGGAUCUACCCGAAGGACAACGCGCGUUUACGUUGAGUUAGGAUAUCGCGAAGGGAUGCUCCCUCUUUACUUUUAUCUCCCGUUUAAUCUGUUGUAAAUCGACAUUGUUUCUAUCAUCGUCUCGUUUGCCUCUGCACGCGAGGGGGAAAAAUCUCGUGGUGCAAAACGGCCGGUUUAACUGGUAAUAGGCUGACCUUUUAAUAGCACGAUUCUCUUCGUUUAUUACGGACGAUUAGAGGAAGUAAUGCAACGUGAGGAAGUUCAAAGAGGAUUAAGAACGCCGCGCCCAUCUUGCAGAUUCUAGGUCAAAUCGAAAGGGUGUGGUGAGAGAUUCAAAUACAGGCCGCAGAGCAAUUUGUCGAAAUGCUUCAACUUCAAUGACUCGGGCUGUCGGAUUUUUCAACGCGUUGUUGCAACUCACGAGAGUGCACGCCCGUCGCUUGGUCCAUCGCGGAUAAUCUCAGGUAAAGUUUACUCGGUUUUUCUUAUCGUAGAAUUAAAUAGCAAUAACAGCUUCGCAAAAGUAAGUGGAAAGGG